This 455-nucleotide ribosomal RNA is filed under the name uncultured bacterium. Its description in RNAcentral is "bacterial SSU rRNA". It matches the Rfam family "Bacterial small subunit ribosomal RNA", at positions 30 to 506 of the family's 1533-position model. The record is from RNAcentral.
UUGAACGCUGGCGGCAUGCUUUACACAUGCAAGUCGAACGGUAACAGGUUAAGCUGACGAGUGGCGAACGGGUGAGUAACGCGUUGGUGACCUGCCCCGAAGAGAGGGAUAGCAGUUCGAAAGGACUGAUAAUACCUCAUGUGGUUGUCGGUUUUAGAAUCUGAUAACUAAACGGAUUUAUUCGCUUCGGGAGGGGCCUGCGUCCCAUCAGCUAGUUGGUAGGGUAAUGGCCUACCAAGGCUAUGACGGGUAGGGGACCUGAGAGGGUGGCCCCCCACAAUGGAACUGAAACACGGUCCAUACACCUACGGGUGGCAGCAGUAGGGAAUAUUGGUAAUGUGCGAAAGCGCGAACCAGCAACGCCGCGUGCACGAUGAAGGCCUUCGGGUCGUAAAGUGCUUUUAGAGAGGAUGAGGAAGGACAGUACUCUCUGAAUAAGCCUCGGCUAACUACGU